Molecule: ribosomal RNA, 468 nt
Filed under: uncultured bacterium
Lineage: Bacteria
Description: partial 16S ribosomal RNA
Rfam family: Bacterial small subunit ribosomal RNA
Source: RNAcentral
GACGAACGCUGGCGGCGUGCUUAACACAUGCAAGUCGAACGGAAAGGCCCUGCUUUUGUGGGGUGCUCGAGUGGCGAACGGGUGAGUAACACGUGAGUAACCUGCCCUUGACUUUGGGAUAACUUCAGGAAACUGGGGCUAAUACCGGAUAGGAGCUCCUGCUGCAUGGUGGGGGUUGGAAAGUUUCGGCGGUUGGGGAUGGACUCGCGGCUUAUCAGCUUGUUGGUGGGGUAGUGGCUUACCAAGGCUUUGACGGGUAGCCGGCCUGAGUGGGUGACCGGCCACAUUGGGACUGAGAUACGGCCCAGACUCCUACGGGAGGCAGCAGUGGGGAAUAUUGCACAAUGGGCGGAAGCCUGAUGCAGCAACGCCGCGUGCGGGAUGACGGCCUUCAGGUUGUAAACCGCUUUCGCCUGUGACGAAGCGUGAGUGACGGUAAUGGGUAAAGAAGCACCGGCUAACUACGUG